This 1096-nucleotide long non-coding RNA is filed under the name Scleropages formosus (Asian bonytongue). RNAcentral's name for it is "lncRNA (ENSSFOG00015032936.1)". The record is from RNAcentral. Lineage: Eukaryota; Metazoa; Chordata; Actinopteri; Osteoglossiformes; Osteoglossidae.
CAGACUCCUAAAAUAGGUAAUAUUUUAUUUAUAACACAUAUUUUAUCAAGGUCUACUGUACACUGGGAAAUUUUUGCACAGCACUAAAGACAUAAUCAAAAGCAUGUUGUAGUUUCACGGACCCUGAAUUAAGAACAGAGAAUAGGAAAGUGAAUAGUUUAUUAAAGAUCCACAGUUGCAGUAUGUGGGAGGACCAGACGCUCAAACUUCAUGGUUUGGUUCUAAGUGUUAAAACUAAGUAUGACAAUGGGAGACAUGAAACACACUGCUGUUUUGAACUUUUUGUACCAUUUUGAAAUCAGAACAGUAUUUAAGUGAGUAUCUCCUGUCACGGACCCUUUGUUCUGUGUGCUCUUCAGCGAUAAAGGUAACUGAGCCCACUAGCUCGACAUUAUUGCAAGGUUAGUAUGUAGCACAAGCAUGUUUUUCAUAUUUGGAUAAAAAAAAUGCAUGCUCACUUUUUACUUUAAACAUCUAAUGUAAUGUAAUGUGCAGCUACUCACAAAGCUGUACACAGCAAAUGAAAGACAUCGUAAAAAGGCGUUUAAAAAUGAACUAAAUGAAUUAGAAAGAAAAUAAAAUCUGAUUACUAAACCUUUGUAAAAGUGGACAAUUAUUUUAAUGUUGAGUAAUACAACGGCCAUAUUGAGGAAUGUGUGCUAUCGUUAAUUGUCGGAGAUGUUACAUAUUUUGUGCUUAAAUGUUUCACCAAGUAAUAAUUUAAUAACGCUUUAUUUUUGUUUCCUUUAAUCAUCCAAUAUUACCUAACACAAUGCUUCCGGUACGUGUUCCAAUAUCUGCGUGGCUCGGAGCAGUGCAGGAUGGGAACAGGAGCACCGCCACGGCACAAGCCUCCAUCUGUCUGCUUGUCGUCAUCUCCGUUCACAUCUUGCUCCACUUCUGAUGUCUCCAGUGUUGUGAGAAGCAGAGUUCAUUCUCUUCUGGAAGCAUAGACUGCAGGACAGUGUCUGCUGAGCAAACCCGUCUGCUCGGGUCUCAUUAGUAAAUUAACGAUAUCGACUGCGUGGUUCUCUUCAAAUGUUAAAAUUAGAAUGAUGAUGAUGUUAUUACUGACUGCACGUAUCGUGUACAAAAA